CAGACUGCUGUGCUAGCAAUCAGCGAGACUCCGUGGGCGUAGGACCCUACGAGCCAGGUGUGGGAUGUAAUCUCAUGAGCUGGUAUACGAUGCCUCUCCAGAAUCACCUUGUUCUUUCUGGAUCUAUUCAGAAUCUGAAACUCCUAGAAAAGAAAAAUGCAAGAUGCAUGAGUUGAGACAGGAUCUCACUAUGUUGCCUUGCAUGGACUGGAACUCCUUGGCUCAAGAAAUCUUCUUGCCUCAGCCUCCCAAAUAGCUAGGACUAUAUGCACAUGCUACUACACCUAGUGGAAAAUGAAGCACAGAGAAGUUCAGUGAUGGACCUCAGAUACUACCAGCAGAAAGCAGAAGAGCUAGGAUUUCAACUUAGGAUGUCUGGAUCCACAGUCUGCACUCCUACCCACUAUGCUACACUGCCUCUAACUAUGAGGAAGCAAGGGCAUUUUUUUUUUUCUGGUGACUAAAAAGAUAAGAGUUCAAGUAUGUGGCUCCUGAUAAUCUAACUUAUACAGCCUGGAAAAAUUGAUAGUUACUAUAUCCAGACUGUCUCAUUCAAUUAACAGUUUCUCAAGUAAUCUUCUAGUUACUGUCGUAUUUUAUCUGUAUCAACUUAGCAAACCAAGUCCAAAACAUUUUAUAUGUGUCUAUCUUUCCUGCUGUUCAUAUUAUUGAGUUAGCCAAAUAAAUUCAAUUUUUUUUCUACUGUUUGUUUCUCACAAAUUAUGACUGGCAUCUGUAUAUCUGGGAAGGUUCUACUGCAUUGCUGUAUUAUCACUAUAUAAUUAUAAGAGAUCACAGAGUGCAUUGAUGAAGGCCAUGUUGAGACAUGAUGAAACAGGGUCCAUUGUGACUGGGUGAAACUGUCUUCAAUUUCCUGGUCUAUAAAGCAGAGAAUCUGUAGCUCACAGAAUGGCUGGUAGCACCCACCAGGAUCUGGGACAUUCAGCCUGAGAAAUAAAAAACUCAUCAGGAUCUGUGAAAGACAUGAAGACAGAAAUAGUACUAGAAGAAAGAAAAUGCUUAGAAGUCAUAUGCAGCAAUAAAGAACUUGGCUUGAGAGGUCAUUCCAAGAUGGUCGAAUAGGAACAGCUCCCAUCUGCAGCUCCCAGCGUGAUCGAUGCAGAAAACGGGAGGUCUGACUUCAGUGAAGAUCCAAAGGCAGAGGCCCCACAGGAGUCCUUCUGCUCCCUGGAGACA
Molecule: long non-coding RNA, 1197 nt
Filed under: Homo sapiens (human)
Lineage: Eukaryota; Metazoa; Chordata; Mammalia; Primates; Hominidae
Description: HSALNT0073780
Source: RNAcentral